AACGACAUUAACAAAAACACAACGACAUUAAGAAAACGGAAAAGGUAGGUCCCAGUGGAGACCUAAGAAAUCGCUGAUUGGACUACAGCUCGUUAGAAAACGGAAAAGGUAGGUCCCAGUGGAGACCUAAGAAAUCGCUGAUUGGACUACAGCUCGUUUUACUUCUGAACCGGAAGUUUUUCUGGAGACCCUUUUCACAGUGAUGUCAGACAAUGGGCGCCGUAACUCGAAGAGAUGUAUCUUUACUUCUGGUGUGAUUUUGCCUCGGGAAACCUGACUGAAAAAUUCACGGAUACUCAUUAGCUUAAAGAUAUACUAAAAGGUAAGGUUAAUUACAACAGCAUUUACGUGUUAGCCGUUAUUACUCAUUGUCAAUCCACCAUUCUCUAACUGUGUAUAUAAUAAACAGCCUCCGAUCGGAGAAUAAACCAGCUAGCAGCAGCUUUAGCCACAGUUGGGAACAUAUAUACACCGCUGUCUGUCAGUGCUGUAACGUUUAGAGGUUCACUUUCUGUAUUAACUUUAAUAAAACAGUAUUGUUGCCUCACAAUGUACAUCCAUCUACAGUCACAGUAUGCACAUCUACUGCCUAAUUUCAUGUGACGAAGUUCAUCUUAAGCUAGCUUGAGACACGACAUGUUCAAAACUGGGGUUGGACAUGAUGGGUGUUUUCAAAAUGUUCCAGUCCGUAAGAUUUGGUUCCACUGAGGACCAAAAAUGCUACAUUUGUUACAUUGUUACAUUUUCAGCUGCUGCGGUUCGCUUUCACACUGCACUGUUCCCUCGUCCCGCCUGUGGUGGCGCUGCACCAACAGCUGCUGAAGGAAACAACACAUAAACCUCAGAAGAAGACGUGAACGCAACCUCUGAUCUUAACUUAUGCAAAACAAUGAGAUCGUAUCGUGUUAAAAACGUAUCUAAGGUUUCUGAAAACUUUUUUCUUGUGCACAGAAUAUGCUUGUUUAAUAUCCGUUCAUGAUAAUAGUCUUACCGGUGGACUGCUGCAGUCCAAGUUCACCUCAAAACACACGUUACCAGGCAGAACACACUCUGACUUUGUCCGAAAGCUGCAGAUCCCUGCUCACCACCCAGUUUGUCAUCAAACACAAAGACAGGCGCAGUGUACUUCAGAGACCUGUUCGAAGCUAACGCUGGAGGGACCCAUGUUUGUGCUUCUGUGUUUGUCUUUGUGUGUGUGUGUGUGUGUGUGUGUGUGUGUGUAGGCGGUAGGUGGGGAGGUGAAGCCACUCGUCCUUGUAAGGGGUUUUACCCUGAGUACUGGUAAUCAAUCAAUAAGUGAUGUUGUGUGAAGAGGUCACAGUGACAUGGGACUUUUUUUCCCUCCUUUUCUGUCUUAAUUUCCAAAUGAAAGCUGCUUCUUUUUUGUUGUUGUUAUUGGCUUUUAAAUUUAUGCACACUCAUAGGUAUAAUCCUGUAUAAGAUCAUUUUAUGCCAAACUCAGCAUGGCAUUAAAAACCCAGGGAGCUUCACGGAGACCCUCAAUGAAUGAAGCCAAUCAUAUUAUGUUUCUCAUGCUAUGGAAAAAGGCGUGAAAGCAGUCACUCAGGAACAACUGAAGACAUUAGGUUCUUUAUUACGGCUGUCUGGAGAACAGAGUGGAAAGGAACAGAGGAAUAUUACCGCCAUGCAUCAUCCGCAUGGUGUGGGCACACUUCACUAAUCCUGAGAUGAAAACAGUGCAGAGUUCCUGGGUAAAAGGUAACCACACACCUCAAACUGUGAAAGAUUCUGUUGGGAUUGUGUGCUUGCACUUUUUCAGCAGGUGAGCCACUUCUAAAAUCCCCAAGUUAAAAUGAUCUACCUACUUCUAAAAUGCAAAACAUGCAUUUAUUUAUGUAAAGAAAUUGAGAAUUCUUUAUGUGUUUCACUCCGUAUGAUAGUGGUAAGCUUUUGUUGUCUUACUUGGUCCGGCUCUCCGUCUCAUUUUUAUACCCUCCCUAAAGUUUAAGAGAAAAACCGAGAGCUAAAAACUUAAGGUAACUCGCUACCCAGCUAGUUUUGCUGAAUUUAGCACUGUUGUUUGCACAGGCGCAGUGAACCCAAGUGUCAAGUGAUGUUGAAAGUUUGGAAUAUAGUUUAAUGACUUAAUCCUGCUUUAAACUCCUUAACAACUUCAUCCAUGACAUAUCUGGCGUUUUUUUUUUUUUGUUGUUAUUUUUGAUGCCAUUUGUUCACAAAUGUUCUCUCAACAAACCCCUGAGCUGUCAUAGCAACAUACUGAGAUACUUAUAUAAAAUUAGACUGCCACGUGUUAAUUGGGUAACAUGUGGCAACAUUUGUUUGCACUUUGGGUUAUUAUUAAAAAGGGGAAACUCGUUUUUCGUUUUUUUCUGUCAAUAAAAACAAUCAUUAUUGCUGGAUGAUAUGGCUACAGAAUAUGUCAAUAUAACACUUUCAUAUCAGAUAAUACUAAUAGUUAUUCAACUGUUUUUUUUUUGUUUUGUUUGUUUGUUUGUUUUAAAUAACUGAAAUUUAGCCAAACUGGUGACGUGACAUUUCCCUCUUUUGCUCACAAUUUCUUCUCAAGUUGCUCUACUCAUUAUAUUAAUUUUCUCCUUUCAUUUCACAUUGCUUUUUUUUUUUUUAGUUUUCAGCAGUUAUCAGGUACGGUGGCGAAACCUGAAACCGCCGCUACGCGAGUCACUCAACAGGUUGUUGCUAGGGAACCAAAGUGAGCUGAUUAGCUAGCCGUGAGAGGUUGAGCGGCUCAAGUCUUUCCUACAUCGCCCAGGAUGUUUUGCGACUCUGGAUCAGAGUUCAGUGAAAUUAUUGAAAAUUCCGUAGCAUGUAUUAUCUAUUGAUACUGAUCACAUGUCUGUCGCAAAAUAUAUAGUUAUUGAUUUAUUGCCCAGCUCUACAAACCAUGAACACUUCUGACUUCACAUUUACACUUAUGUACUAUUUUGUCUAUCGGGAAAUUCCAAUAAAAUACACAGAACUCAGCGGUUCUAAUGUGACGAAACGCUUCAAGACUCUUGAGGUUGGAAAAUAAAAACAUGCAACAUGAUUAUCAGACCUGUUGCCAAAAGUCAGAUAGAUGUUCAUCAACCCUUCCUGACAGAAAUUGCUUAUUUUACUCAUCUGACAGGACUUAAAAGUUGACAUCUGUCCUUAUGUCCAAUAAAAAAAAGUAACAAAAACAAAUUUUAGACCUGUACAACACAGUAGAACCAUAUAAUACAACUAAAAGUUUAAAAUCGCCUCCAGGAAGUCACUGAGUGCCGUUAGCUUUAGUGGAUGUUUUCAUUACUCCAAACCCUCCAUCAAUAAAAGGUUAUUGCCUUUUUUUUCUUUUCUUUUCUUUUUUUUUUUUUUUUACAAAAUGAACGUUAAUUUUUACAUUCAUCUUUUAAAUGAAAUAUUAAGCAUACAAAAGGGACGUAUUUUAAAGAGCCAGACACUUCUGGGCACAUCAAACACAUUUUUUCCCCCCUCCAGCAGCUCUUCAUCUGGGAGUGCUGCCACACGGGCUGCAUAUCACAUCCUUGAACUGUUGUAAAUUUUGAUUGUCUGUUCAUUAAUGUGUCAUGAGCUUUUUAUGGAUGUGCCAUAUAAACCAUUUAGAGGACAGCAGAAACAUUGUGCAUGAUCUCAGUGACUGAGAGGAUUUCCUGACAAGAGUCAUCACCGCCAGCCAUUUGCUCUGUGAGCUAAUCACCAGCUUUCUGUGACACGACGAGCGGCGCGCGCAGUCAGCAAUUUUGGGGACGUUGUGUUGCCCGGCAAAAGUGCUGAUUAAUACAACUUGUGCGCUAUUUGAAACCGUAUUGACAGAUCAGAAGGAAAAAGAACAAGAAGCUUGGGAGAGCGGCGGCUCUCGGUUGAGAGAGAGGAGAGGAAAACGGGAGGAUGGUGUGAUGAAAUGUCAAGCAUGAAAAAGCUAGGUGGGCGCAGUCCUUUAAUUAAUUGACUGCGAGUAGAAGUGUGGUCACUGACCCGUGCACGGGAUGCAUUAUCAAAGACCAAUCCACUUCACUUAAUUGAUUAAGUCAUGUGGCUGCAGUGAAAACUUAGCUGUGUCAUUUUAAUAAAAACUCACGCCUUUGUUUCUAAAGUCAGGUUUUGUUGUUUCUGGUCAACUGUUGCUGCUCUGGAGUAAAAUCACUUAAAUUAUUUCAUUUGGACUUUAAAUUUGAUUUAUUGUUUCAAACUGGAGCUUUCAGAUUUUCUCCACUGCUGAACCAAAAGCAAAACAACAUUUAGCUUCAGUUUGAAAACGAGGUUUGGGAAUCCUGCCUGUGGAUCAGUGAAUGGAAACUGGAACUUUGUAGGCCGUCAUGAUCAGAGCUGCCAGGAAGAAGAAUAAAGUGUGGAUGGAAGAGCUCACCAUGCUGGGUGCUGUGGUGGUGCAGGGCUUAAGCAUAACCCACAGAUGGACCCUUAGUCCUCCAUGCGGCCGUUGUGGGUUUGGUGACCCGGUGACCCUUGUAGCAUGUCUUCUCUCUCUCUCAUUACCUACUUUCUUGUCUUAGCACUUUCAAAUAAAGGCCAGUAAAGACAAGAAAAAACUUUAAAAAAAAGAUUGCCAUGUUUGCAAUGAAGCACAGCGUUGGCUCAGUAAUGCCCUGGACUUGCUUUUCUUCUCUGGAAUCAUGAAGAAUCCAGAGGGAAAAACGGAUAAAAAUGAAAUAUGAGAAAAAUCACUGGAGAAAAAAAAGUCAUGUUGACUGUGGGGAUCAAUAAAACAGGCGUCCUGUGAAAUGCAUGUAAACAGAAAAAACCUGCUGUAGCGCAGCAGAAAGCAAGUGGGAGAGUGUGAGUGGAGUGCACACAAGCAUGAUUAACAACGCUAAGACCUUCCUCCCGGCUCUGAUUGGUUGUUUCCGACUGAGUGGUGUAUGUCUGUAGUUAGCACUGGAUGAAGCAGGCAUAGGAGCAUUUUUUUUUAUCCCGUACUGUUUUUUAAAAUAAAAAUGACAUAGUGUAGCUUUAACAAGUCAAAGCGGCUAAAACAAAACUAAUUUUGAGACUGCAGCAGUCAUUAAAGCUUUCACUGUGUAUAUAAUUUGGACCACUCACCUGUAUGUCAGUCGUGCUGAGCUAUUUAAUUUGUUCUUACUAUUUUGUUUAUGGCAAACACUUGCUGGUUUGUGUAUGUUGCCAAUAAACCUAAUUUUAGGUGCUGCCAUAUCUGAACGGAAUCAGUAGAACUGCUGUAAUCUGAAUGUUUUUUCUCUCUCCUCUUUGGACUUGUUAAGCAGAGUGAGCUGAGCUUUACAGCUUGGCUGUGAAUCCCACCCAUAAAGCAUCACCUUGAUUUCAUCCUCAUGACUUUGACAAGCCCUUUCUGUUUUGAAACCGUGGCAACGUUUUUAAAAAAAAAAUUCCGUGUAAAUGUAAAUAAUAGUAAAAAAAAAAAAA
Poecilia latipinna (sailfin molly) is the source of this 5382-nucleotide long non-coding RNA. RefSeq lists it as uncharacterized. The transcript is spliced from 2 exons. The record is from RefSeq and is a predicted model, not a curated record. Lineage: Eukaryota; Metazoa; Chordata; Actinopteri; Cyprinodontiformes; Poeciliidae.